CAACCCUCGAGCCCCCCGUGGCCCGGCGUUGGGGAUCUGCCACGGCAGGCCCCGAAAUCCAGUGGCGGACCCGCUGGGCCCUCUCCUUGCGUAGUAGCAUCAGCCUCGCAUCGGGAGCCCGCGUGGCAUCCUGCCCCUAAACCCCCCACAAGCCCGCUCCGGCGGCACCAA
This 171-nucleotide unclassified non-coding RNA is filed under the name uncultured fungus. RNAcentral describes it as "sequence contains ITS2". The record is from RNAcentral. Lineage: Eukaryota; Fungi.